UUGCACUCCAGGCUCCUCCCUUCAGCAUGGAGACCUGUGUGUAGGGACUUCAAACAGCAGCCAUCUUGGAAAUAUAUGCAGCCCGUUGCUUGCAUGUGUUGCUUUAAGGGACCUUUGAGAAAGUU
This 125-nucleotide small nucleolar RNA is filed under the name Neotoma lepida (desert woodrat). RNAcentral describes it as "Small nucleolar RNA SNORA70". It matches the Rfam family "Small nucleolar RNA SNORA70". From Rfam's summary of the family: snoRNA U70 seems to be exclusive to mammals and is a member of the H/ACA class of snoRNA which contain H (ANANNA) and ACA box motifs. H/ACA box snoRNAs are involved in the conversion of uridines to pseudouridines (5-ribosyluracil) a constituent of structural RNAs (transfer, ribosomal, small nuclear, and small nucleolar). The record is from Rfam by way of RNAcentral. Lineage: Eukaryota; Metazoa; Chordata; Mammalia; Rodentia; Cricetidae.